Molecule: small nuclear RNA, 107 nt
Organism: Hyaena hyaena (striped hyena)
Lineage: Eukaryota; Metazoa; Chordata; Mammalia; Carnivora; Hyaenidae
Source: RefSeq, a predicted model, not a curated record
GUGCUCGCUUUGGCAGCACAUAUACUAAAACUGGAACAAGAUAGAGAAGAUUAGCACGGCCCCUGUGCAGGGAUGACAUGCAAAUUCAUGAAGCAUUCCAUAUUAAA